This 484-nucleotide ribosomal RNA is filed under the name uncultured bacterium. RNAcentral's name for it is "partial 16S ribosomal RNA". It matches the Rfam family "Bacterial small subunit ribosomal RNA", at positions 28 to 507 of the family's 1533-position model. The record is from RNAcentral.
AUUGAACGCUGGCGGCAUGCUUUACACAUGCAAGUCGAACGGCAGCGCGGGCUUCGGCCUGGCGGCGAGUGGCGAACGGGUGAGUAAUGCAUCGGAACGUGCCCAGUAGUGGGGGAUAGCCCGGCGAAAGCCGGAUUAAUACCGCAUACGACCUGAGGGUGAAAGCGGGGGACCGAAAGGCCUCGCGCUAUUGGAGCGGCCGAUGUCGGAUUAGCUAGUUGGUGGGGUAAAGGCUUACCAAGGCGACGAUCCGUAGCUGGUCUGAGAGGACGACCAGCCACACUGGGACUGAGACACGGCCCAGACUCCUACGGGAGGCAGCAGUGGGGAAUUUUGGACAAUGGGGGCAACCCUGAUCCAGCCAUGCCGCGUGCGGGAAGAAGGCCUUCGGGUCGUAAACCGCUUUUGUUCGGGAAGAAAUCCUCUGGGCUAAUACCCCGGGGGGAUGACGGUACCGGAAGAAUAAGCACCGGCUAACUACGUG